Kogia breviceps (pygmy sperm whale) is the source of this 409-nucleotide non-coding RNA. The record is from RefSeq and is a predicted model, not a curated record. NCBI's taxonomy places the organism in Eukaryota, Metazoa, Chordata, Mammalia, Artiodactyla, Physeteridae.
UUUGCAGCUUUCCUUGAAGCUCGGUAUGACCAUAAGACUAAAUUCUGGGUAAAUGAAGGUACCAUAUGUGGUUUCUAGAAGGGCUUCUUGAAGGCGUUGACUCACUGGGAGCUGCUGCCUUUUCCUCCCUUCUACCGCCUGGAACGUGGACGGGAGGGCUGAAACUCCAAUGGCAAUCUUGGGUUAUGAGAGAAAGUGGGACACUCUAAUUGUUUGGGCUGAGGAAAGGAUACAAGAAAGUGCCAGGGGAGAAGACAUUCAAAAGAACACUGACUGAGCAAGUCAAUGGGAUACAAACCCAGACCUGGCUGACCCUGGAGCCCUGAGCUUUCUUCCCAAUCCUCCUCAUAGAGAAACACAGCUAAUAGUUUGAAUUUUUCUUACCAACUUCUUUUCUUUUUUUAAACGA